AAGGAUUUAAGUUAAGAAAAACUAGCAGCCUUCAAAGUUGCAAAUAGAGAAAGGCUCUAAGCCUUA
Molecule: transfer RNA, 66 nt
Filed under: Meloe proscarabaeus
Lineage: Eukaryota; Metazoa; Arthropoda; Insecta; Coleoptera; Meloidae
Description: tRNA-Trp
Source: RNAcentral